UAAAGGGCCAGCUCAAGUGUGUAUGUGUGUGUUCCUGGCUACCAACAGGCACUUAUCCUGGAUGAGAAUGAGGAAUAUGAAUGAAGCAAAAUUGGUCCUGAGUUAACGGUUGAUGAAGUCAGGUCUUUUCUGGGCAGGUGGGAACAAAGGACAUUUAAAAUCAUUUAAAAUCCCCGUGAAAUUAAGUGCUGGAAACUCAAACACCUUCAGAGCCCAUGAAGCAGGACUCAAGAUAGAGAAUGGAGAAAAAACUAAGGAUCAUAUUUGUGACUGAUUCUAUGGCUGAAGUUACCCGUUUGUGACCCCUGGUAGAUAGCCUCUAGUGGAUUUAAAUGUUGCUAAAAAAAACUUUAUUGGAUGUAAAAUUCAAACUGUGAUUAUUUUUAAAAUGCAACAAAUGUGAUUUAAUCAAACUCAACUGCAUAGUCAGUCCAACUGGUUCUCCUGAAAGUGGUUCUUAACUGGCCUGAAACUUCCCAAUGUCAUCAAAAAGGGUGACCAUAUAUAAGUCCAGGCUUGUUUUGCUGACAUGCUUUGGACGACAUGAGAACGUAAAUAACGGCCAUUUUUUUCUUUAGCUAUCCGAAAAUAAAGCUAGUAUGUGCUUACAAAUAGCUGUGGAGAAGAAGAGAAUUUAUAUAUUCAAGCAAUCUGUGAUGAACAUAGCAUUAUACCUCCAGAGAGCAUUUACGAGUCACUAGAACUCCGCUAUAUAAACUAUAAACCACUUACUACUAUCUUUUCUUAAGUAAAAAGAAAUAAAAAUUUAGGGGACAUUUUGUGACAUAUAUUUUUUAUAUUACCAGUAAGUGCUCUAAAAUUCAAAAAGCUUCUUAAAAAUUUUGCUCUUGUAAUAAUGUUUGAAAAUAUUUCCACUUCUCUCUUACCCUCCAUCAUACACAGAGAAACAUUUGCACAUUUACUUCCCCACACCUGAAAAGUACUUAAAUUUUAUAGAUAACAUCUAUUAGAACCCAGUAAAACCCUACAAAUACUGUAGCUCUGUAGGAAAUUCUGUUUUAAAUAUUCAAACAUAGUAUCCAACUUUACUAUUUCUCAGCAAAUAUGUGGUUUAUAGGCACAGAAGCAGCAAAAGCUAGCAGUUCACAACCCAUAAGUUAUAAACCUAUGCGUAAGCUUACCAUUUCCUUUAAACUUGAUGUUAAGUUUUCUGGUGCAUUUUCAAUAACUUUUAAGGGUCAAAUAAUGGUGUGUACCUCAUUUAAAAUUAAAUAAUUAUUUUUAUUUUUCUUGAUGUCUCUUCUGAUCUUGAAAAUAGCUGAUAGAACAGCAUUGUUUGAUGUUGCUUAUCAAAUUUUAUUUGCAAUAUUAUAGACUUAGAAUCAUAGAAGGAGGAAAAAAUUGCUAGAUAUAUUAUGUACCACACUCCAUAACAAAAUAAAGAUGCAAAAAUAAACCAAAGGAGGAGAAUAAACCGACUAAGGAUAUAUGACAGCUUCAGAAUGAAUUAAGGUUUGAAGCACACAAAAAUCCAGACGCACAGCAGAAAGUGUUCAACUAGGUAUUUAGAAACUUUGAUUUCUUCAGUUAUCUAAGUGACCUGUGGAAGUCAUUUAUGGUUACACUGCCUUUCAGUAAAUCCUUUGCUGCAUCAGCUUAUUCUCAUAACAGAGAUCAAAUUAAUUUCUUAAUCUGCAAUAUAAGAGUAACAGCUACUGGCUGGCCAAAAUAAUGGGUCAAGGUUACAUGAGGCUGCUCAGGCUAGAUAUAAGAGAAGGAACCAUUAAAAUCCAUUAGGUGACAGUUGGUCCCAAGCAACUGGCAGUAGCGAAAAUGAUAAAAGAUAUUGCUACAGAACAAGUGAAAACAAUUUAAACACAUUCUAGGUGGAACAGUCAAGAGGAUCACAUGAAAUACAGGGAGAGUGGGCAAGGAGGAUAUGAGCCAUUGUGGAAAACAGUAUGAAGGUCUGUCAAGAAAUUAAACACAGAAUCACCAGGCUGAGUAUGGUGGCUCACACCUGUAAUCCCAGCAAUUUGAGAGGCUGAGGUAGGCAGAUCACCUGAUGUCAGGAGUUUUGAGGACAGCCUGGCCAACAUGGUGAAACCCCGUCUCUAUCAAAAAA
RNAcentral lists this long non-coding RNA (2086 nucleotides) under Homo sapiens (human). RNAcentral's name for it is "HSALNT0113020". Lineage: Eukaryota; Metazoa; Chordata; Mammalia; Primates; Hominidae. The record is from RNAcentral.